RNAcentral lists this small nucleolar RNA (84 nucleotides) under Drosophila ficusphila. RNAcentral describes it as "small nucleolar RNA Me28S-U3344". It matches the Rfam family "Small nucleolar RNA Me28S-U3344". From Rfam's summary of the family: Me28S-Um3344 is a member of the C/D class of snoRNA which contain the C (UGAUGA) and D (CUGA) box motifs. This family directs 2'-O-methylation of 28S U-3344. Lineage: Eukaryota; Metazoa; Arthropoda; Insecta; Diptera; Drosophilidae. The record is from RNAcentral.
AUUUAUUGUGAUGAAUACUUAAUAAAUUCUUGAUAGGAAGAGUAUGAAACAUAAUGAGUACGAAAAAACCAUGCUGAUCUAAUC